AAAGUGCGGCCAUAGUGGGUGAUAGCCCUGUACGCGAAAAUCUCUUAGUCAUGAAAUCGAGUAGGACGGAGCACGAGAAACUUUGUCUGAAUAUGGGGGGACCAUCCUCCAAGGCUAAAUACUACUGACUGACCGAUAGUGAACCAGUACCGUGAGGGAAAGGCGAAAAGAACCCCGGAGAGGGGAGUGAAAUAGAUCCUGAAACCGUAUGCGUACAAGCAGUGGGAGCCCACUUUGUUGGGUGACUGCGUACCUUUUGUAUAAUGGGUCAGCGACUUAUUUUCAGUGGCGAGCUUAACCGAAUAGGGGAGGCGUAGCGAAAGCGAGUCUUAAUAGGGCGUCUAGUCGCUGGGAAUAGACCCGAAACCGGGCGAUCUAUCCAUGGGCAGGUUGAAGGUUGGGUAACACCAACUGGAGGACCGAACCGACUACCGUUGAAAAGUUAGCGGAUGACCUGUGGAUCGGAGUGAAAGGCUAAUCAAGCUCGGAGAUAGCUGGUUCUCCUCGAAAGCUAUUUAGGUAGCGCCUCAUGUAUCACUGUAGGGGGUAGAGCACUGUUUCGGCUAGGGGGUCAUCCCGACUUACCAAACCGAUGCAAACUCCGAAUACCUACAAGUGCCGAGCAUGGGAGACACACGGCGGGUGCUAACGUCCGUCGUGAAAAGGGAAACAACCCAGACCGUCAGCUAAGGUCCCAAAGUUAUG
RNAcentral lists this non-coding RNA (705 nucleotides) under Marivita cryptomonadis. Its description in RNAcentral is "bacterial LSU rRNA". It matches the Rfam family "Bacterial large subunit ribosomal RNA", at positions 346 to 1057 of the family's 2925-position model. The record is from RNAcentral. Lineage: Bacteria; Pseudomonadati; Pseudomonadota; Alphaproteobacteria; Rhodobacterales; Roseobacteraceae.